This 459-nucleotide ribosomal RNA is filed under the name uncultured bacterium. RNAcentral's name for it is "partial 16S ribosomal RNA". It matches the Rfam family "Bacterial small subunit ribosomal RNA", at positions 338 to 795 of the family's 1533-position model. The record is from RNAcentral.
CCUACGGGAGGCAGCAGUGAGGAAUAUUGGUCCAUGGACGGAAGUCUGAACCAGCCAUGCCGCGUGCAGGAAGACGGCUCUAUGAGUUGUAAACUGCUUUUGUACAAGGGUAAACCUGAAUUCGUGUAUUCAGCUUAAAGUACUGUACCAAUAAAGAUAGGCUAACUUCGUGCCAGCAGCCGCGGUAAUAGGGUGGAUCCAAGCGUUAUCCGGAUUUAUUUGGUUUAACGGGUGCGUAGGGGGGCUUUUAAGUCAGCGGUAAAAAUUCGGGGCUAAACCCCGUCUGGCCGUUGAAACUGGGGGCCUUGAGUGGGCGAGAAGAAGGCGGAAUGCGUGGUGUAGCGGUGAAAUGCAGAGAUAUCACGCAGAACCCCGAUUGCGAAGGCAGCCUUCCGGCGCCCUACUGACGCUGAGGCACGAAAGUGCGGGGAUCGAACAGGAUGAGAUACCCCUGUAGUC